UCCAGACUCCUACGGGAGGCAGCAGUGGGGAAUAUUGCACAAUGGGUGAAACCCUGAUGCAGCGACGCCGCGUGAGUGAAGAAGUAUUUCGGUACGUAAAGCUCUAUCAGCAGGGAAGAAAAAAAGUCCUUUGGACUUUGGACGGUACCUGACCAAGAAGCCCCGGCUAACUACGUGCCAGCAGCCGCGGUAAUACGUAGGGGGCAAGCGUUAUCCGGAUUUACUGGGUGUAAAGGGAGCGUAGACGGCAGCGCAAGUCUGGAGUGAAAUGCCGGGGCCCAACCCCGGGACUGCUCUUGGAACUGCGCGGCUGGAGUGCAGGAGGGGCAGGCGGAAUUCCUGGUGUAGCGGUGAAAUGCGUAGAUAUCAGGAGGAACACCGGUGGCGAAGGCGGCCUACUGGACUGCGACUGACGUUGAGGCCCGAAAGCGUGGGGAGCAAACAGGAUUAGAUACCCGCGUAU
Molecule: ribosomal RNA, 463 nt
Filed under: uncultured bacterium
Lineage: Bacteria
Description: partial 16S ribosomal RNA
Rfam family: Bacterial small subunit ribosomal RNA
Source: RNAcentral